RNAcentral lists this ribosomal RNA (370 nucleotides) under uncultured organism. Its description in RNAcentral is "bacterial SSU rRNA". It matches the Rfam family "Bacterial small subunit ribosomal RNA", at positions 526 to 896 of the family's 1533-position model. The record is from RNAcentral.
CGUAGGGUGCAGGCGUUAAUCGGAAUUACUGGGCGUAAAGCGUGCGCAGGCGGUUUGCUAAGACAGGUGUGAAAUCCCCGGGCUUAACCUGGGAACUGCGCUUGUUACUGGCAAGCUAGAGUGUGGCAGAGGGGGGUGGAAUUCCAGGUGUAGCAGUGAAAUGCGUAGAGAUCUGGAGGAACACCGAUGGCGAAGGCAGCCCCCUGGGCUAACACUGACGCUCAUGCACGAAAGCGUGGGGAGCAAACAGGAUUAGAUACCCUGGUAGUCCACGCCCUAAACUAUGUCAACUGGUUGUCGGGGAAGCAAUUCCUUGGUAACGAAGCUAACGCGUGAAGUUGACCGCCUGGGGAGUACGGCCGCAAGGUUA